CUACGGGUGGCUCCAGUCGGGAAUAUUGCGCAAUGGAGGAAACUCUGACGCAGUGACGCCGCGUAUAGGAAGAAGGUUUUCGGAUUAUAAACUAUUGUCGUUAGGGAAGAUAAAAGACAGUACCUAAGGAGGAAGCUCCGGCUAACUACGUGCCAGCAGCCGCGGUAAUACGUAGGGAGCAAGCGUUAUCCGGAUUUAUUGGGUGUAAAGGGUGCGUAGACGGGAAGACAAGUUAGUUGUGAAAUCCCUCGGCUUAACUGAGGAACUGCAACUAAAACUAUUUUUCUUGAGUGUUGGAGAGGAAAGUGGAAUUCCUAGUGUAGCGGUGAAAUGCGUAGAUAUUAGGAGGAACACCGAUGGCGAAGGCGACUUUCUGGACAAUAACUGACGUUGAGGCACGAAAGUGUGGGGAGCAAACAGGAUUAGAUACCCUGGUAGUC
This 440-nucleotide ribosomal RNA is filed under the name uncultured bacterium. Its description in RNAcentral is "partial 16S ribosomal RNA". It matches the Rfam family "Bacterial small subunit ribosomal RNA", at positions 339 to 795 of the family's 1533-position model. The record is from RNAcentral.